CUGCGAGGUAAACAGAGGCGUGUGGGGUGUGACCUUGUCGGAGGCUGCGAUACCCAAUCGCAGGCAAGUGUAAACCCCCGAGAAAAGCUGCUUGGCACAUGUACUGUCAACCAGCGAGGAGUGGCAAUUUACACCUGGAGAGGAGUUGCUGUGUUUCUUACCAUUCAACUGAAAAGCGAAGCAAAGACCCCAGUAAAUGAUUUCACAGUGCCGUUGUACUCCCAAAGUUGUCUAUUGAUUGCGUGGUGUAGUUUGACUCCCAGCACAGAACAAACACAACAGGCAUCAGUGAGAGGAUUUGGGAUCUUUUCCCUGCUCCACAAUCGUUGGAUUAAAAUAGAGUUUAAGCUCUAAGUAGAUCGG
This is a long non-coding RNA of Callorhinchus milii (elephant shark), 363 nucleotides long. RefSeq lists it as uncharacterized. The transcript is spliced from 3 exons. The record is from RefSeq and is a predicted model, not a curated record. Lineage: Eukaryota; Metazoa; Chordata; Chondrichthyes; Chimaeriformes; Callorhinchidae.